UACGGGGGGGGCAAGCGUUGUUCGGAAUUACUGGGCGUAAAGGGUGCGUAGGCGGCGCAGUAAGUCGGGUGUGAAAUCUCGGAGCCUAACUCCGAAACUGCAUUCGAUACUGCCGUGCUUGAGGACUGGAGAGGAGACUGGAAUUUACGGUGUAGCGGUGAAAUGCGUAGAUAUCGUAAGGAAGACCAGUGGCGAAGGCGGGUCUCUGGACAGUUCCUGACGCUGAGGCACGAAGGCCAGGGGAGCAAACGGG
RNAcentral lists this ribosomal RNA (253 nucleotides) under uncultured bacterium. Its description in RNAcentral is "partial 16S ribosomal RNA". It matches the Rfam family "Bacterial small subunit ribosomal RNA", at positions 524 to 776 of the family's 1533-position model. The record is from RNAcentral.